GCCGAGAACAGAGAUUGUGUAGCUCAGCUGUAAGGAAUGUGGCAUGGCUCGAUGCUGUUUGAGCAUGUCAAGUUCAGCCUCGGACCAGGCAUCAUUCCUUUCAUCUCAGUUACACAUUUGACAUCCAGGA
This 130-nucleotide microRNA precursor is filed under the name Physcomitrium patens. Its description in RNAcentral is "Physcomitrella patens miR166m stem-loop (ppt-MIR166m)". Its record names the gene ppt-MIR166m. Lineage: Eukaryota; Viridiplantae; Streptophyta; Bryopsida; Funariales; Funariaceae. The record is from miRBase by way of RNAcentral.